RNAcentral lists this ribosomal RNA (253 nucleotides) under uncultured bacterium. Its description in RNAcentral is "partial 16S ribosomal RNA". It matches the Rfam family "Bacterial small subunit ribosomal RNA", at positions 524 to 776 of the family's 1533-position model. The record is from RNAcentral.
UACGGGGGGGGUAAGCGUUGUUCGGAAUUACUGGGCGUAAAGGGCGCGUAGGCGGCCUGCUAAGUCGAACGUGAAAUCCCCGGGCUCAACCCGGGAACUGCGUCCGAGACUGACAGGCUCGAAUCCGGGAGAGGGAUGUGGAAUUCCAGGUGUAGCGGUGAAAUGCGUAGAUAUCUGGAGGAACGCCGGUGGCGAAAGCGCACGGCUGGACCCUUUUUGACGCUGAGGCGCGAAAGCUAGGGGAGCGAACAGG